Molecule: ribosomal RNA, 253 nt
Filed under: uncultured bacterium
Lineage: Bacteria
Description: partial 16S ribosomal RNA
Rfam family: Bacterial small subunit ribosomal RNA
Source: RNAcentral
UACAGAGGGGGCCAGCGUUAUUCGGAAUUAUUGGGCGUAAAGGGCGCGUAGGCGGUUCGGCAAGUCUUCAGUGAAAUCUCUGGGCUCAACUCAGAGUCUGCUGGGGAAACUGCCGGGCUUGAGUGUGGGAGAGGAGAGUGGAAUUCCUGGUGUAGCGGUGAAAUGCGUAGAUAUCAGGAGGAACACCUGAGGCGAAAGCGGCUCUCUGGACCACAACUGACGCUGAGGCGCGAAAGCUAGGGGAGCAAACAGG